AAUAAUUAUUAGUAUAUUAACACAUUAACCUCUCCCAGAUGGACAAAAACUGAACUUUAAUAAUAUAGAACAGUGGUUCUCAACCUGUGGGUGGAGACCCCUCUGGGGUUGACUGACCCUUUCACAGGAGUCACCUAAAACCAUUGGAAACACAUGUAUUUACAUUAAGAUUCAUAACAGUAGAAAAAUUGCAGUUAUGAAGUAGCAACAAAAAUAACUUUAUGGUUGGGGAUCACUACAACAUGAGGAACUGUAUUAAUGGGUUGCAGUAUUAGGAAGGUUGAGAAACAUUAAUAUAGAAUAUGGUGUAAUGGAGCAAAACAUGAGUACCAUAGAACUAGAUUAAGGUUAACUAUAGGAAUGAAGGAGGGAUGUACCUAGGAAUAGAGAAACAGUCUGAAACAAGCAAAAGUCCCUUUAUGCCAAACCAAGAAAAGAAAUUCAAAGGUUAUUCUGUUACAGGAAAGGUAGUGUGAUGGUUUGAAUAAGAAUGGCCCUAGGUCCUCUCUCUCUCUUCUGCAGCCGAGCAAGAUGCCCAAGGAAAAGAAGGCCAAGGGGAAGAAGGUGGCCCGGCCCCCGCCAUCGUGAAGAAACAGGAGGCCAAGAAGGUGGUGAACCCUUUGUUUGAGAAGAGCCCUUAGAACUUCGGCAUUGGGCAGGACAUCCAGCCCAAACAAGACCUCACAUGCUUCGUCAAAUGGCCCCUGUACAUUCGGCUGCAGCGGCAAAGGGCCAUCCUCUAUAAGCGGCUUAAAGUUCCUCCUGCCAUUAACCAGUUCACCCAGGCCCUGGACCGGCAAACAGCUACCCAGCUGCUCAAGCUUGCCCACAAGUACAAGCCAGGAGAAGAAGCAAAGACUGUUGGCCGGUGCUGAGAAGAAGGCUGCUGGCAAAGGGGAUGUCCCAACUAAGAGGCCACCUGUUCUUCGAGCAGGAGUCAAUACAGUCACCACCUUGGUGGAGAACAAGGGAAAAGCCAGGCUGGGACGACUGGUCCACAGGAAAACAUGUACCACCGUUGCCUUCACACAGGUUAACUCGGAAGACAAGGGUGCUCUGGCUAAGCUGGUGGAAGCUAUUAGGACCAAUUACGACAGCUAUGAUGAGAUCCAACGCCACUGGGGAGGCAAUGUCCUGGGUCCUAAAUCUGUGGCUCAAAUUGACAAGCUGGACAAGGCAAAGGCUAAAGAACUCUCUACUAAACUGGGUUAAAUGUACAAUCACCGCUAAGUUUUCUGUACAUAAAUACAAAAAAAAAAAAAAAGAAUGGCCCUAGGGAAUGUCACUAUUUGAAAGAAUUAAGAUUAUGAGGUGUGACCUUGUUAGAAGAAGUGUGUCUCUGGGGGUGGGCUUUGAGGUUUCAAAAGCCCAUGUCAAGC
RNAcentral lists this long non-coding RNA (1379 nucleotides) under Cricetulus griseus (Chinese hamster). RNAcentral describes it as "lncRNA (ENSCGRG00000024743.1)". Lineage: Eukaryota; Metazoa; Chordata; Mammalia; Rodentia; Cricetidae. The record is from RNAcentral.